GCCUUGGGAAAAAAAUCUUACAAGCUGCGAGCCGCCGCUGCAGCAGAUCGACUUUGUCAAGUUCAUCUGAGAGCACAGUUCGUACAAAACUUUGUCCUGGUCUUGAAUGACAAGAGAUAAAUCAAAAUGAGUGGAGCAUAUCCACCCAAGAAGAGGAAACUGACUGAUUUCAUCAAAAGAGUGGAGCCAAAGACUGGUGGAAAUGACACUGGACAGGGUGGCAGAAGUGAGGAGAUGUGUAAAGAGG
Molecule: long non-coding RNA, 247 nt
Organism: Perca fluviatilis (European perch)
Lineage: Eukaryota; Metazoa; Chordata; Actinopteri; Perciformes; Percidae
Exons: 3
Source: RefSeq, a predicted model, not a curated record